CGACGACGAGGACACCGGACACGUUUUCGUCGACAUGGCUACCGUGCUCGCUACCAAGGAACGUAAGAGAGGAAGAAUGAGGAGCUGACUAAGACGAGGCCUGCCAACGAAAAAGUCGUCACAAUCGAUGAGUAACGUCACGUUACUGUGGGCGAUUCUCGUGCAAUAGCCAGCCCACCUUUUUUUUACGGGUUUUCAAUUUGCACGAAGGCAAUUCCAUCGAGAAAUAUCAGGAAAAAUGGAGAACGAACGAGAAAGAGAGAGAGAGAGAGAGAGAGAGAGAGUCAUCUUGUGUUACUAUCACC
Long non-coding RNA from Vespa mandarinia (Asian giant hornet), 305 nucleotides. The record is from RefSeq and is a predicted model, not a curated record. NCBI's taxonomy places the organism in Eukaryota, Metazoa, Arthropoda, Insecta, Hymenoptera, Vespidae.